GAUGAACGCUAGCUACAGGCUUAACACAUGCAAGUCGAGGGGCAGCAUGAACAUAGCUUGCUAUGUUUGAUGGCGACCGGCGCACGGGUGCGUAACACGUAUCCAAUCUGCCCGUCACUCGGGGAUAGCCUUCUGAAAGGAAGAUUAAUACCCGAUGGGAUGCAUUUCCGGCAUCGGAGAUGCAUUAAAGAUUUAUCGGUGACGGAUGAGGAUGCGUACGAUUAGCUUGUUGGCGGGGUAACGGCCCACCAAGGCAACGAUCGUUAGGGGUUCUGAGACGGAAGGUCCCCCAGACUGGAACUGAGACACGGUCCAGACUCCUACGGGAGGCAGCAGUGAGGAAUAUUGGUCAAUGGGCGAGAGCUUGAACCAGCCAAGUAGCGUGAA
Molecule: ribosomal RNA, 387 nt
Filed under: uncultured bacterium
Lineage: Bacteria
Description: bacterial SSU rRNA
Rfam family: Bacterial small subunit ribosomal RNA
Source: RNAcentral